Molecule: long non-coding RNA, 4168 nt
Organism: Musa acuminata AAA Group (dessert banana)
Lineage: Eukaryota; Viridiplantae; Streptophyta; Magnoliopsida; Zingiberales; Musaceae
Exons: 3
Source: RefSeq, a predicted model, not a curated record
AGAUUUGUGACUAGAAUUCGGACAGGGGUGCACAACCGAGAAUCGCGAUUCCCCGUCACAGGUCUUAACCGUGAGAGCUCAUCCUAAGGUGCCACCCACGCGGCAUCAUCUUCGGCGUGCCUCGCGAUCGCUGCACCCGUCACAUCGCCGUCUAUGGCCGCAAUGGGCCCCUCCGCGUCCGACCGACCUCACCGCGACGACGGGCAGCCUCUUCCUCCAUCGCUUCUUUUCGUUCAAGCCCAGUCGCGCCAUCCCGGCGGAAAAAGCGCAUAUGGCCUCUCCGCCAGGCAGAUCUUCGUCGGUGAUCAUGCCGCUUCUCCCCGCCUGGUCCUGGCGCGGCGUCGUCGUCGCCGUCGUCGGUUAUCAGGAUCCUUGCCUCGGGGACGAUGAUAGAGGGGAUCGUCUCGUGCUCCAAGUACGGAGGUGGCCCUACUUUUGUCGGGCUGGUCUUCAGUACGCUCGAUCCAUUCAGCACGGGGUUCAUGGUGAUCACCUUCUGAUUCGAUAUCCGCUUCAUCGUCAUCUCCAAGAGAAAAAAAGAUAGAUGAAUUGUCAAUUGAGAUUGUUCUCUGUGAGAGGCGUGUGUGCGCAUGCACGCAUUGUGAUGUCUCUCACUUCUCUUGGUAAUGGGCGAUUGGCAUGCUCUAAUACACAGGUUUCUGUAUGUUUCUUUAUUUCUUAGCUUGAGAAAAACGGAGCGCAGGAAAGUCAAAAUAGAUUUGUCGGAUGCGAUUGUUCUCGAUCAGAGGCAUGUGACAACGUUGUUUUACUUCAAGUUCAACUAGGCACCUUUUUCUGAUUCAAGUGCUUCUACAGCAUUUCCUUCUCGUCGAUGCUUUAAUUCUAAUCGCAGUUUAAAUAGUUUCUUUCUGUUAAUAUCUGUGCUAAAACAAAUUUAACAUUUAAUGAUACUUUGUGUAUUCAUGAUUCCAUGUAGGCCUAUCCACAGCUUUGGUAUGAUGGUUCACCAGUUACGAGCCAAAUCGGAACCAGCCCUAGGAGGUUCAGUUUCGGUUCAUAGGUUUAAAAAACAGGAACCAUCUGUUCCGAAACUGACGACUGUAGUUUUAAAUUAUUUUUUAUUAUUCAACAACAAUAAUCAGAACCGGCGAUUCUGGUGUCAGUUCGAACCAUCGAUUCUGUAAUUUUGAAUUAUUUUUUAUUAUUCAACAAUAACUUUAUAAUUUUUCAUAUUGUAAAAUAUUUUAAUUAAAAAUAAUAAAAAAACUGGUGGUUCAAAUCGGAACCGCCUGGCGCUUGCUGGUUCGGUUCCGGUUCCUAGUUUUGGGGAACCGGAACCGUUGGUUCCGGAACCAAAGCGGCUGGUUCUGGAACCAGAACUGUGGUCAGGCCUGAUUCUAGGUUUAUGCUAUGCUUCUUUGAAAAAAGUUUGCUGGAGAGCAUCCUUGAUGCUUCAGUUGAUUAUCACAUUUUUUAGCCAAAACUGACACAUGCAAUGGCAGCAGGAUGUUAAUUAUUGAUAAAUUGACAGCAAAUGUAAUCGAGAAAUACAGUGACCUCUUGUUUGAGCGUCCAGAGAUGCUACUACACCUGCACAAGUUUUCUUUUUAUGCAUUUUAGUUUAUUUCUGAUCUUUACUCAGAGACAUAUUAAUAUAUUGUCCAGGUUUUUGCUCUUAUUUCUAUUCUUUUUAUACUAUCACAUCAACAUCAGUCUUGCUGCUCAUGAAGCACAGGAUCAACAAAUGAUGGAUGAAAUGGGACAAUAUGGAAUACCACUUAGUGUCUUGUCAACCAUUGCUGAGAUUCAGUUUCUUGAUGUUGUUGACAAAGUACUAGAAAACAGAGUGUUUGAGAAAAACCUCUGGUAUUCAGCUUAAAUUUCCUCAUCUGGUCGACUCAUUUGAAGAAAGGUAUGUAAGUUGCUCUGUGAUAGCAAGCAGUUGUUCAUAUCCUGAUGACUUAAUUCCAGGUCAUUUUUUGUUUUCACUUCAAAUGGACAUCCAUGACCUUGGCUCAAUCCGAGUUUGAUUGCCACUAAGAUAAUAAGCACUGGGCCAUGGCUUUAUUGUACAAGUUCAGCUUGCAAGUUAUUAGGCUUGCAACUGAACUGCCUUCAUGGCCUAGCUGCCACUGCUCUUGCGAUCCCUGUCUAUGUGGCCUUUGGCACCCUGUAAGAACAUUAUUUGUUUCCUCUUUGCCCUUGCUCGGUUGGUGUAGUUAUGUGUGAAAUGAAACAAAAUGUUUCUUUCAUGGUUCUUAGGUAACUAGUGAAUCUCAGGUUGUUCAAGUUAUUUUUUCUCAAAGGGCAAGAAAAAAUGUUAUUAUACAGUUCUUCACAGCCUGUUUGGAUGUAAAAAAGCCAGUUAUAUAUGGUUGUUUCUGAAACGUUUAGAGCAAAGCCAGCUGUUCAUGUUUUAUAUUAGAAUAGAUUAUAGACUCAUGAUUUAGGCUAGCCUAAUAUCACAAAGAAUCAGCUAACCAAAUGUCCUUUCAUGUUAUGCUAUCGUAUUUUUUAUGGUCAUCCAUUGAUCUACUACAAACCAAGAUCGUCGCAACUGGUAUCGCCUAGUUGCUUGUUUGUCGUUAUUGUUUAUUAGAGUUGACGUCCGGCUGGUUAGAGAGAGGGAUUUAGGUGGAGAUGCAUGGCUGUACAAUUCUAAAUCUCUAAUGUCUUUCUGUUUUAGGUAUAUACGACGACAAUUAAUUUUUAUGAUCUGGCUUGUGGAGGGUAAUUGGAGAGAUGCAGUUUAGGAUUCAAUUCAAAACCAAAACCAAAAACAAUAAGAACAGAAAGGAAAAGAAGAAAGAAAAACGAAAGAAGGGGGAAAGAAAAAAAGAAAGUCUCAUUGGUCAUCUGGUUGCUACUAUCAAUAUAAAAUCUUGUAUAUCUUGCUGAGAUGCCCCAUCUUAUUGGAUCGUGCUGUAUGUUAGCAAGUCUUGUAUUUGUUAAUUGAUCUGUUUCUAUUUGUGUCAUCUUGUUCAUUAUUUCUUGGUUUGAUUUCAUUAUGGUAUGUGGUAGUACUGUACGGUUGGUUUUUCCUUUCAGGAGUGCCACUUCAUCAUUAAGGUCUCCUUCGUUGGCCACCACAGUUCCAAAUACUAAGGCUUUAAUAAAGAGCGACCCAGUUUGCAAUUUGAUACUUGGAACUUGGUUCAUAUGAUAACCUACAAGGAUGCCAUGCUCAGUCACGAAGUUGACCAAUUUUUAACCUCCAUUUCUAGAUCCCUGGUCUAGACAACAACAGAAACGGCGAUUCUUGACAACCAGACCAAGUCAAAUUCAAGAUCUGAAGGUGUUGCCCCGAAUGAACUUUCACUGAUCCCCUUCUUCCAAAGAUCACAAUGGUUGGCAUCUCGAUGGGUGAUGGGCAGAUGACCAAAGCAAACUUGAAGAAGACGAUGAAAUACCUGACAAAGGGGUUAGAGCAAGCAAACCACCAGUGAAAACUCAUCCAAGAAAUUGAUCCUCUGUUCACAGCAAAUGUGGUUGGUUACUUUUGACAUCACAAGGCUGGGCUCUUUCUGACGUAGAAAACACUGAAAUAACUUACCAUGUUCCUGAUCCAUUCUUGACUCAUGCCGCACGAGUACACUCUUAUAAAGGGACUCGAUUGGGGAGACUCAUCUUUGUUGCCAAGCAAUAAAUCUUGUGGUAAGUGGGGGACAGCAGGGGUUGAUCACUGAUCCAAUUCCACUCUUAGGUAUCUGGACAUACUACCAGGUGGGGAGCCAAUGGUUAAGCAUGCAUACUGUGGAUAUCCACUAUAUCUCUUUCAAUUUCGGAAGGCGGAUUUACCUGCCAUAUAAGUUCACGGUGGCACCGGCACCAACCAUGGCCGUCAGGUUGCUGUGUGGUAGCUGCUAUGCAACAUACAGUCCCAAGAAGAUCAUGUUGGAGGCUCGAUGUCAGUACCGCUGAUUCGCGGAAUGAACACCGAAGUCGACCGCAGGCUAAUCAGGUAUUGUUAUCCAGCACAUUUCUAAGUCUCAGGAAUCACUGAUGCUAUAAACAGUUGCAAUGUGGCCUCUGGACCCUGUUCAUGGGGCACCACCAUUCAUCCAGAUCACGACCACUUCCGGUGCCAUCCUCGUAAUAAUUCGAGCUUUUCGGCGUGGAGCCGAGUGUUGUUACAACAGUUAUAUGCACUAGGGUGAUGCUCUUGCUUGUGAAGCAAUGAUGGGAAUAACUCUUUUCCCUUUAUAUA